CCCUUAGAUGUUCUGGGCUGCACGCGUGCUACAAUGGCGCUUGCAACAAGUCUUGCCAACCCGAUAGGGUGAGCGGAUCUUUGAAGAGGCGUCGUGAUCGGGACAGUUGAUUGCAAUUAUUCGACUCGAACGAGGAAUUCCUUGUAAUCGCGAUUCAUCAUAUCGCGCUGAAUUCGUCCCUGCCCUUUGUACACACCGCCCGUCGCUCCUACCGAUUGAGCGAUCCGGUGAAUGUUUUGGACUGGCGUCAGAAGCGGUUCGCUCCUGACACUACGAAAUUUUGUAAACCUUAUCGCUUAGAGGAAGGAAAAGUCGUAACA
RNAcentral lists this ribosomal RNA (320 nucleotides) under uncultured eukaryote. RNAcentral's name for it is "partial 18S ribosomal RNA". It matches the Rfam family "Eukaryotic small subunit ribosomal RNA", at positions 1470 to 1796 of the family's 1831-position model. The record is from RNAcentral.